This 204-nucleotide unclassified non-coding RNA is filed under the name Hevea brasiliensis (rubber tree). Lineage: Eukaryota; Viridiplantae; Streptophyta; Magnoliopsida; Malpighiales; Euphorbiaceae. The record is from RNAcentral.
GUCGUACCGGUGUUCGAUCCCUUUGGCACCGACAUCUGCACAUCUCCAGUCGGCGUCGGAACGCGAAUCUUCCCUCCCAAUACGGCUUCGGUAAGGGAGACCGGCAACUCGAUAGACAUAUCGUCACCGUCGCGGGUGAAGCGGCGAUCGGGCAGGACUUCCACCUCGAUCAGGGCAUCCCCUGGAUCGCCCUUGCCGGCGCCG